AGAGUUUGAUCCUGGCUCAGAUUGAACGCUGGCGGCAGGCCUAACACAUGCAAGUCGAGCGGUAACAGAGAGUAGCUUGCUACUUUGCUGACGAGCGGCGGACGGGUGAGUAAUGCUUGGGAACAUGCCUUGAGGUGGGGGACAACAGUUGGAAACGACUGCUAAUACCGCAUAAUGUCUACGGACCAAAGGGGGCUUCGGCUCUCGCCUUUAGAUUGGCCCAAGUGGGAUUAGCUAGUUGGUGAGGUAAUGGCUCACCAAGGCGACGAUCCCUAGCUGGUUUGAGAGGAUGAUCAGCCACACUGGGACUGAGACACGGCCCAGACUCCUACGGGAGGCAGCAGUGGGGAAUAUUGCACAAUGGGCGCAAGCCUGAUGCAGCCAUGCCGCGUGUGUGGAGAAGGCCUUCGGGUUGUAAAGCACUUUCAGUCAGGAGGAAAGGUUAGUAGUUAAUACCUGCUAGCUGUGACGUUACUGACAGAAGAAGCACCGGCUAACUCCGUGCCAGCAGCCGCGGUAAU
This 521-nucleotide ribosomal RNA is filed under the name uncultured bacterium. RNAcentral's name for it is "bacterial SSU rRNA". It matches the Rfam family "Bacterial small subunit ribosomal RNA", at positions 8 to 524 of the family's 1533-position model. The record is from RNAcentral.